Molecule: unclassified non-coding RNA, 206 nt
Filed under: Hevea brasiliensis (rubber tree)
Lineage: Eukaryota; Viridiplantae; Streptophyta; Magnoliopsida; Malpighiales; Euphorbiaceae
Source: RNAcentral
GUGCCUUCCAACUUUUCCCACCCCUCCUUUGACACAGAAGUUUUUCCAAUGAACAAAUAGUCAAUUGGUGAAUCUCGGUAUUUCAGUUUCAAAGUCGCAAGUACAUCAGCUGGUCCCUGCAUAGGUCCUGAUACCCCAAUACAUGCAGAAACUGAAUAUGUGGAACCUGGAGAAACCCUGCUUGUGAUAUCUUGCUCCAAACCCUG